CAAUAGCGUAUAUUAAAGUUGUUGCAGUUAAAAAGCUCGUAGUUGGAUUUCUGGGAGGGUGCCAAUGUCCGUCGUCGUACGUGUUGCAGCGGCGCCCUUCCAUCCUUCUGUUAACGACUUUGGGCAUUCACUUGCCGGAGUCGGGCUCAGAUAUUUUUACCUUGAGAAAAUUAGAGUGUUUCAGGCGGCUAGGCCGGAAUACAUUAGCAUGGAAUAAUGGGAAUAGGACUUACGGGUUCUCUUUGUUGGUUUUGAGGGACUGCAGUAAUGAUUAAUAGGGGAUAGUUGGGGGGCAUUAGUAUUUAAUUGUCAGAGGUGGAAUUCUCGGAUUUGUUAAAGACUAACUUAUGCGAAAGCAUUUGCCAAGGAUGUUUUCAUUAAUCAAGAACGAAAGUUAGGGGAUCAAAGACGAUUA
Molecule: ribosomal RNA, 415 nt
Filed under: uncultured eukaryote
Lineage: Eukaryota
Description: SSU rRNA
Rfam family: Eukaryotic small subunit ribosomal RNA
Source: RNAcentral